Molecule: unclassified non-coding RNA, 423 nt
Filed under: Hevea brasiliensis (rubber tree)
Lineage: Eukaryota; Viridiplantae; Streptophyta; Magnoliopsida; Malpighiales; Euphorbiaceae
Source: RNAcentral
GUUUGAAACCCGGAAGAUGUAUGUUGAGAUCCAUCCAACUGUUAGACCCAAAACCAGGACUAGUUGAACGACAUUUCCAGCUUGUAAAGGGUCAAAUCCCAAGAACUCCAAUCCACUCUUUAAGCCAACCCCUAGAAGUGUAACUCCAACUCCAAUCAAUAUAACAUCCUUUCUCGUAUAUCCAAAUGGUGUCUUAUUCUGUCCAAGAGCUCCAUCGCUACUGCCACUCGGUUCUGAGCUAGCUCUGGUGAUCAUACGUGGAACUUUCUUCAUGCUCAUGUUGUGGGAUACAUUCCUUAGGACAGAGGAAGUUCCGACUCUGACAUGUCUCUGGGAGUAAGUUAUUUCUGGUCUGGUUAUGGGUUGCAUCAAAGGAAAAGAAGAGAUACUCAUCAAAGAAGAAACUCUACAUUUGCACAAAAG